Molecule: RNase P RNA, 337 nt
Filed under: bovine gut metagenome
Description: Bacterial RNase P class A
Rfam family: Bacterial RNase P class A
About the family: Ribonuclease P (RNase P) is a ubiquitous endoribonuclease, found in archaea, bacteria and eukarya as well as chloroplasts and mitochondria. Its best characterised activity is the generation of mature 5'-ends of tRNAs by cleaving the 5'-leader elements of precursor-tRNAs.
Source: RNAcentral
GCAGACCGAACAGUUGCGGGUACAGAACCGAAAGGCUGUAUGCGAGGAAAGUCCGAGCUCCGCAGGGCAGAAUAACGGCUAACGGCCGCCGGGGGUGACCCUAGGGAAAGUGCAACAGAGAUAUACCGCCGAUUUUUCGGUAAGGGUGGAAAGGCGAGGUAAGAGCUCACCGUCACAAGUGAGAGCUUGUGGACAUGUAAACCCUAUUCGGAGCAACACCGUGGAUGGACAAUACGCUUGCCCGGCGUGUCCUAUGGAGGUGGCAGUGAGCAGUUCGGUAACGGGCUGCCAAGAUAGAUGACUGUUUAAAACAGAACUCGGCUUACAGGUCUGGUCU